Molecule: ribosomal RNA, 490 nt
Filed under: uncultured bacterium
Lineage: Bacteria
Description: partial 16S ribosomal RNA
Rfam family: Bacterial small subunit ribosomal RNA
Source: RNAcentral
AUUGAACGCUGGCGGCAGGCCUAACUCAUGCAAGUCGAACGGUAACAGGAAACAACUUGCUGUUUCGAUGACGCGGGGCGGACGGGUGAGUAAUGUCAGGGAAACUGCCUGAUGGAGGGGGCUAACUACUGGAAACGGUAGCUAAUACCGAAUAACGUCGCAAGACCAAAGAGGGGGAACCACAGGCCCCUUGCCAUCGGAUGAGCCCAGAUGGGAAUAGCUUGUUGAUGGGGUAACAGCUGACCAAGGCGACGAACCCUAGCUGCUCUGCGAGGAUGACCAGGCACACUGGAACUAAGACACGGUCCAGACCCCUAUGGGACGCAGCAGUGGGGAAUAUUGAACCAUGGGCGCAAGCCUGAUGCAGGCAUGCCCCGUGUAUGAAGAAGGCCUUCGGGUUGUAAAGGACUUUCAGCCGGGAGGAAGGGAGUAAAGUUUAUACCUUCGCUCAUUGACGUUACCCGCAGAAGAAGCUCGGGCUGACUCCUUG